AAUGACAUAGAUAUAGAAUCAAUAACUCUAAGCCCAGAGAUGAAAUUCUUGAGCCACACACCUUAUGAAGUGGCCUCAUAUAUAUGAAAAAGAACUUGG
Molecule: long non-coding RNA, 99 nt
Organism: Ipomoea nil (Japanese morning glory)
Lineage: Eukaryota; Viridiplantae; Streptophyta; Magnoliopsida; Solanales; Convolvulaceae
Exons: 3
Source: RefSeq, a predicted model, not a curated record